UCCGUCCCGCCGGGGACCCCCGAGCGGCGCCGCUGUGGGCCCGGCGGGGCCUCCCGGCAGCCCCCGCGGCCUCUGAUUUGCAUGGCUCCGCCCCCGGAACGGGACUCUCCCCAGGGGCCCCGCCCCUCGUGGUGGCCGCUCCGCCCCCUUCCAGAUCAGCCCGUUUGGUCAGGUUUACAUUUACUUAGCAUUUCUCAGCUUCUUUUAGGCUUUUAGUACCGUUUUUACACCACGGGAUGAGCAAAUAGGUUUAAAACACCGCGUAACUCAGGGAAAGAACAGAGUCUUGGGGCAGCUAUGCGGUACGAACUGAGUAAUUUCCCUGAUCCUGGGAGGAAACAGGCAUACCUGGCGCGGCUUCACUUCGCGGUGCUAAUCUGCUCUGCCUCAUAUCCUCUGCUCUCAGCGCAGCCGGCACUUUAGGAUCGGCCUUGUAGCGCGAUGUGAGCGCCUCUCUGUUUCUUAAUCUCUUUUAGCUCGAGCAUCCCAUGAUUUUUAAUCAGUUCAAUCUGCAGGUUAAGGUACUAACUGCUGCUUUUAAAAGAAAUACCUCACAGAGGCUCCUAGCCUGUCAGAGAAAGGGCGGGCAGGCAGAUGAGAAGAGACCGGGGGAACCGCAGGGCUGCGGCGCCGCCUCACCACAGCGCCGCGACCCCUCUUCCCGCCGAUUUCCCAACGGUCGCCGGGGGGGGGACAGGGGGCGCUCGCGCCUUCCCCCCACACUGCGCCUGCGCGCCCCCUCUUCCCGCCAAUUGCGGGGGGGGGGGGCGCCGCGGGCGCCUGCGCGUGUCGCCUCGCGCCCUCCCCUCCCACUGCGCCUGCGCGCCGCCUUUCCCGCUCCCUCCCUCACCGCUCCCUAGCGUCGGUCCACAGGAUGGCGCAUGCGCGCGGGGAAAGGCCGUAGUGCGCACGCGCUCCUCUGUCUCCCAGCAUGCACCGGGGCGGCGACCUAUUUAAGCGCUCAGGCGGGGCUACUUCGGCCAUUUCCUUGCUGUUGCUGUAUGGGGAGGGUGAGUGUGUCCGGGCGUUGCCUGCUCCUGGGGCUGUUCGGGGGUCGCUCUGCGCGGAACGAGCCGUUCCUAGCGGCCGUUUCCUUCUCUCCUGAGGUUUUCAGACGUCUAAGGGGAAGCUCUGCCAGAGGUGUGGAACUGGUCAGCCAUGUGCAUCUGUGGUUCCUUCGCAGCGUUGUGCUCAGAGUCUCUGGGAGUGGCCUGGGUGUCUCCCUCUGCAGGUUGAUGCCUCCGGAGCAGGCGGUGCUGCCCCAGCCCCGUCGCCGGCAGCAUGAGGAAAUGGAUGAAAGCUGUUGGCUGGGGGUGUCCAGCAAAGCUCCGAGCAGCCUGGAGCGGCUGCGCUGGAUGGUGUUUGACGGAGGUGGCCGGAGGGGCCGGGCGGCAGCAGCUGGGCUGAGUCCAGGGGGAAACGCGGAUGCAUGUCCUGGCGCUGGAGCCCCCCCAGAGCUCGUCCAGGCCCUGCUCACCUUCACCAUUCUCAGGGUCGCUGAGCUGCUGGAGAAGAGCUGCCUCCCUUGCGCGUGCCCUCUCUUUGUGUGAAUAAAAACACUUUCUUUAGUACUCUGGUCUUGUCCGACUCGCUCUCGCUGGGGAGGGGAACUGGGGGUGAAUUCCCCGUUGUCUGGGAUAAACGGGAUGUGCUCCGGCUGAUGUGCCCGCAGGGAUGGGGAUGGGCUGAAGGAG
This is a long non-coding RNA of Apteryx owenii (little spotted kiwi), 1694 nucleotides long. Lineage: Eukaryota; Metazoa; Chordata; Aves; Apterygiformes; Apterygidae. The record is from Ensembl.